RNAcentral lists this long non-coding RNA (3289 nucleotides) under Meleagris gallopavo (turkey). RNAcentral describes it as "lncRNA (ENSMGAG00000022639.1)". Lineage: Eukaryota; Metazoa; Chordata; Aves; Galliformes; Phasianidae. The record is from RNAcentral.
GCCUCAGAAGGAUGGAACCAUCAGAGAAGCAGCAUGAGGAUGCAGUGGCUUUCAUGCUGCAGGGCAAAAAGUGCCCCCCAAAGAAGAAUGGUGUCACAGGCUGGAUUCUGAGGAACCUCCAGAAGACCUUUCAGAGGCCGACCUCCCUGCAGCUCUCUUCUCCCAUGGCUUUUUCUCAGUGUUGCACAGCCUCUUGUCCAAACCUGAUAGUAAGUAGAAGUGAGGCCCAUGAAGAGAAGCACGGGGAUGUGGUAUCUGUUGCCCUUCAGCGUGGUGGGACUCGCUGCUCCUUAUUGCCAGCAUCAGCAGGAGAUGGCUGCUCCGACAACACAGCACUCCGGGGCUGGUGGAGCAGUCUGCAGGUCCAGAUGGCAUCCUGUUCCUGUGCCUUCAGACCCAGUCUCACAUCUCCUUCUCCUCUGCCUUGUUCGGCAGGCUCCCCUUCCAAGGCCAAGCUCUCCAGCCUCUUCUCCCUCUUCUCACCACCAUCGCGAAUCUCUGAGCCUGAUUACAGCUCUCUGCCUUGUGCUGGCUCCAAGAAGUCUAGCAGAGGGAGCUGGAAGAAGAGCUCUCAUUGUGAAGAGCCCCCUGGUCCCAAAUUAGAAGAAUCUGCACAUUUCCCCUUCACAGGACCCAUAAUUGCUCAGAUAACUGACUACAUCUACUUGGGGAACCUCAAUGCAGCCUACAGCGGCCGGGCGCUGUGCACAAAUGGCAUUGACAGCAUCAUUGACAUGAGCAGCCUGCCCAGUGACCACAGCCUGAGCAUCAUCCCCUGCACCUGUGGGAGGGGAGGAUUCAGGCACAACUGGUCACGCCUCAGGGUUGACAUCCAGGCUUUCCUGCAUGGAAAUCUUCGUGAAAUAAGACAGCCAUGCUUCCUGGUCAUCAACGAGUGCAUUGAAGCCUUGAUGGAGAAAGGGAAGCGUGUUCUCAUUCACUGCAGGGAUGGUUACUCCUUAGGCCCUACCUGUGUCAUCCAAUACCUGAUGGUCAAGCACAGCAUGAGAUUGCUAGCAGCCUAUGAGCUUGUGAGGGCACGGUACCUACUGAAAAUCCAAGAGUGCCAUCAGGACCUACUGGUGGGUUUGGAGAUGUCCCUGCAGCCUGGUGGUGUCAAUGUAGCAUGCCUGAAGCACUCCCUGUCAAGAAAGAUGGCAUGGAGCUAAACAGGCAUAGUGGCUGAAGAAGAAAAGCCAAAAGGAAAAUAGCCUUAACUCCAUCUCAUGAGUAAAUUAGAUGAUUGUCAGUGUGGGGUCUGUAGGACAGUGCUGACAAGAUGCAUAGGUGGUGGCCUUUCUUUGCAGUUCUUAGAGGCUGGUACUGGCAGAAGUAUAGCAUGGGGAGCUCUUAGGGACACAUUAGAGGGAAAGGGAAAAAGAUUCAUUUAAGCAUAGGCUGAAGGUUCUUCAGGAAAUCCCCUGUGCUCCAGGUUGAAGAAAACUUUUCUUGGGAACUUUUGUUCCUAAGGUGCAAGUACAUAUCACCUCCGUGUCAGGGGGUUAGAACUGCAUGAUCUUUUAAGGUCCCUAACCCUAACCCAAGCCAUUUUAUAAUUCUAUGUGCCUCAGUCUCAUAUUCUUUUUGGGAAAGAGGAACCAGCCACUGGAUUGCUCAGUUGUUCUGUCUGAGCUUUUACUGUGAGCACAGUUGCUGUUGGGCUGCUGGGCUUGGUUUUUUGUUUUUUUUUUUUUUUUUGCCAACAGUAUCUUCCAUGGAAAUUAGACGUAGUCAUCUGGUGUCAUGUUGGACUAGUCACUGCAUAGUCCCUGUCCACUUGGUGCUAGUAGGAUGCCGAAGGGAAGAAAAUCAGUGUAAAGGUGGGGAGAUGGCUAUGAGAGGCAGCUUGCAUGGAUCCAUCAGCCCAGUGCUUCCAUCAUGUGGUGGUUCUCUGGAGGAACCUGGUCCAGAAGUGUCACACUUGAGUGUCUACAACACAGUGCAGAACCUCCUGUAAGUGCGAACCUUUGUUUCUGAGCAGCUUUGCAGGCUGGUGGAAGUGCUCUGAGAUUGGUGGCCCAUGUCCCCGGUGCAUUGCUCUAGCAUGAGGGGAGGGGAGCAAGGGAUUGAGUCUAGUCAUCUACUCCUUGGGAAAGGUACCCAAACUUGAACACUGUGUCCACUCUUGGUUCCCAUGCAACGCUCGUGUUCGUGUUUCAUGUUCACAGAGCUAAGACAGCUGAUUGCUCCCAGUCUUCCCUGAAGGACUUGCCUGAAGUUUGCUUAUGCUCUCCUUGGGUUUUUCUGCAAGGAACUCAUUCAUCUGUCACUCAAGCACCUGCAUUACUUCACUUGGAAACCUCUGUUUCUCUUCAUGUUAACUAUUGCUUUGUGUUUUUUCAUUUUUUUAUUUUUCUUCCUGCUGCUCACUGGGUUUCUUCCUCAUUCUAGGUCUAGGGCCCCUUUCUUUUUUUGGAGGACUGCUGCCCUGUGGUUUAACCUCUUUGCAAGGCAGCUCCAGGGAAAUGUGUUUGCAGACUGAGAGGUUCAGCCCUUUGCUCACCCUAUUACCACAUCGCACCUCUAGGACUCCUGUAUCUUACAGACAAAUCUGCUAACCAACAUUUGGUUCAUGGGACUUUUCUUUAUGUUCUUUCAACCCACUCUCUGCACUGACCUGAAGCAAUGAAGUGAAAGGAGAGCUGCAAUCUGGAGGACUCGGUGGUAGACAGCAGUGCAUGUAGUUCUGUAGAGAGCUGGGGAAAAUGACUGGAGAAUCUUUGGAAAGGGUAAUAAAGAGAUGGUUUAACUUUAGAGCCAAAUGUGGCCUAUGGAUUUGGUACUGAAGUAAAAGUGAAGUGGCUGAAUUUCUCCUCAGUGGGUGGAUGCUGCUCCUGGCUGCUGAGGGUGGCUGCUGUCUGUUUCUGAAUGUACUUUAAUCUCUAUUUUUCUGAGAAACUGGCUUGAACUGGGAGAGGCAGGCAACUUAAGAGGAUCUGCAGGGUGAUACCUCUCAUCUACAGGCUGUGAAGUGAAACCAAGAGUCCUGAUGUAGCGGAGUUGUGAUUUCACUACCCAAACCAUCUAGCUCUCAACAUUUCAGCGUGGCUAAUCCUGAGCAGACCCAGCCUUGCCCAAACAGGUCACCAGUUCCCAUCUCGAGCUUAGUUUUUUUUUACAGUAUCUGCUGUGCUGUGUGCAUGAUGCUACAGGAAGUUUGCAGCAGCAUGUUUGCUGCUAUCUGUAACAUCCAAGAAAAAAAUUUGUCGCAGCCACAUCUGAAUUAGCUUAAAACCCUUUGGCUGACAGGGGAGGGAGCGCCUGGGCUGUGGGAGGAGGACAAGAGCUG